This is a long non-coding RNA of Sinocyclocheilus anshuiensis, 2938 nucleotides long. Ensembl annotates it as cruciferin CRU1-like. The record is from Ensembl. NCBI's taxonomy places the organism in Eukaryota, Metazoa, Chordata, Actinopteri, Cypriniformes, Cyprinidae.
AGCCACUCAAACACAUGAAUCAAAUUCAUAGAGGUCAUUUAAGACAUAUUCAACAAAUACAGUGGAUACCAAAAAAAUAUUACUUUUUUUCAUUCAGCUUUAUUUUUCAUUCAGCUAUAAUUUCUUGUAGUCUACUGUUUUAAUGUGAGCACACAGACUUGUUUAUCCACUCUUGGGCGUGGAUGAGCAGGUAUCUGUGUCACCUGAGGGCGGAUCCAAAGUAUAAAUACAAGCACGAGAACAGCAUUUCCACACGGAGAGCAAGACGAGACAAGAGGUAAGACAUUCCUCAUUUAUUAGCUCCGACAGAUACCUGUCAAAUGCAUGAUUCAUGUGACCGUUUGAUGAAAAAUUACAGAUUGAAAAAGUUACUCUUUAGAAAAUGUAUUUGCAAGGAUUUUAUCUUAUGAAAUAUUAAAAUAAAUAUAAUUUGAACAUGCAUGCAGAAGAAAUCUUGCUUACGGGUCUUUUUCGUUGCUUAGUGUUUACAGACGUGUUACAUAUCUGAAAAUUUCAACAUGAGUGAUCGACGUAAGUAAUAUUUUAUAUAAAUAUACUGACAUUUUUCUGUUUGUGGCAUUUUAUUAAAAGUUUAAGAAAUUUUUACAGCUAUACACUUUCACAACUAUUUUACUUAAAUGCCAUUAGAGAACAACUCUUAAUGCUCGUUUUUGUUUUCCAAAUGUCUUCUGCAGCACAACAGCAGGUAAGAUAUUUACAAUUCCUCUCGAGUAUACCAAUUUUAUUGCAUUGCAAAUUUUAUUAGCAUUUUAAUUGUGCAUAUCUAUGCAUUCAUUCAUUAACUGUAAGUUUUAAAGAAUAAUACACUGAUCAUUCUGUAUAUUAACAGGGUUGCAGAGAUUCUGGCUCCGAGGUAUGAAGACAAUAACACACUCUUUACAUUUCUACACAAAUAGUUAAAGAACUUUUCCAUUGUAUGCUAAUCCUGUUGUCAUAUUUCCUGUCUCAUAGAGCUCAGGAGAUGAAUGUGGACAGAAGCACGGAAAGGGCCAAGGCAAAGGCAAAGGGAAAGGUCAGCAAGGUCAGCAAGGACAGCAAUGUCAGCAAGGUCAGCAAGGACAGCAAUGUCAGCAAGGACAGCAAGGACAGCAAGGACAAGGUCACGGACAUGGUCACGGUCAUGGAGGUGAUCAUGGGAAAAAGGGGCAUGGAUGUGAGCAGCAAAAAGGAAAAAAGUUUUAAGGUCAUGACCUGAGACCAUGGUGGUCCAUGCAUGUCCUCAUGCUUUACAUAUCAAAACUGGGUUUCAGCUCCAUAUUGCAUUCAAAUAAUGAAAAUAAACCGAUUUAUUAAAACCUUAAAUGAUGUGUGUCUGUCUUGAAUGGUUGAGUUUGAGUGUUUUAAUGGAUAUCACUUAGUUCUUGACUUAAAAUGAUCUCUAGACACAUAUGGGGAACUCAGCCAAUGGUACAAAACCCAAAUAUCGACAUUCAUAGUGAAACUGUGCUGUGCAAGAAACCAAAUGCCUGAGAUGCUGCAUUAGCCACCACUGCCAACACAUGUUAAAAGGUUGUCAACUGGGAUUCCAAACAUCAAAUUCUAAACGAUAUUACGAUUGAAUGUGAAACCAAUUUUUAGGAAUAACGGAUCCGCUGCCACUGCACAAAAACAAAUUACAUCAGGUUCUGCAAGCUUGGCACCCUAAAUAUUAAACUGAACUUAAGAUGCAUGCCAUCUUUCUAUAUUAAAUGUGCAAGACCUACAAAUAACCCAACUGAAGGUGGAGAACUCCAAAAGUGGGAAAUGUGCCAAAGUUGAUGCUUACAGGUUUAAAACUGGGAGUGCACUUCAUUUAGCAUUCCUAUUCAACUCAAAAUCAUGCAUGUACCAGCGGUCCCCGCCCUGGUCAAGGGGAGAAAAAAAAGAAAAGCAUAUUGGGAAACACACUUAACACAAUGACCUUAAAUUCUGUUGGAAUGUGCUAGUGGCACAAAAUUUCACCACCCAACUAUUAAAAGUCCAAUAACUCAAGAGUGCAUUGGUACCCACCCACUUUUCCCAGUGGAGUUAGGCCUAGACUACUCAUUUAAAGUUGAAAAAUCUUAAGUUUAUUGCAGAAUAUGCAAACAAGUAUUUGCAAUGUGUCAAAGUGUUCCCUGUAGAGUUUUUGGCACAGCUCAGAUUGGUGAAAUUUACACCAUCAUGGGUAGUGUAGUUAUCCACAAGGAACUCCACUUUGAAACAAUUCUUUAAAAAAACAGAGUUUGUAGGAGGUCUAACUUUAGGGUUACGUUAGACCCCCAUUACAUUUUUCCCCUUCCAGACCCUGAAAGGCUACUGUACAAAUAUCAAUUUCCCAGCAUGUUUUCAGGUCAAAACUGGUUGAUAAUCUACACAAGAAAAAACAAACCAGAAACAAGGGUAGGUUUCUCAAAUUUAUUGAAAACCAGGUAAAGUCUUCCAUCGCUCUCGAACCGUUAUGGGACCAAGUGAAGCCUUGCCUUCCCACUGAACACCUAGAAGGGAAAGAGAAGAAAAAAAAAGAAAAAAAAAAAAAAGAGACCCACGUUAAAGGGUUAGUUCACCCAAAAAUGAAAAUUAGCCCAUGUUUUACUCACCCUCAAGGCAUCCUAGGUGUAUAUGACUUUCUUCUUUCAGACAAAUCCAAUCGGAGUUAUAUUAAAAAUUGUCCUUUCUCUUCCAAGUUUUAUAAUGGUAUGGGCGGGUGUUUUUGUUCAACGGUCCAAAAGAAGACAAAGCGCAUCCAUCCAUAUUAAAACAUUCCUCACACGCCUCCGGGGGAGUGAACAAAGGCCUCCUGUAGUGAAUUGAUGCAUGGUGUGAACAAAGGCCUCCUGUAGUGAAUCGAUGCGUUUAAAAAAAAAAAAAAAAAAAAGCAUAUUUAAAAUGAUAUACAGUUUUUUGUAACUUCCGCUGUAAACGGUCCAUAAUGUACUUAAAGUGCUCUAUUUCGCAC